Molecule: ribosomal RNA, 497 nt
Filed under: uncultured bacterium
Lineage: Bacteria
Description: partial 16S ribosomal RNA
Rfam family: Bacterial small subunit ribosomal RNA
Source: RNAcentral
GAUGAACGCUGGCGGCGUGCCUAAUACAUGCAAGUCGAGCGAACAGACGAGGAGCUUGCUCCUCUGACGUUAGCGGCGGACGGGUGAGUAACACGUGGAUAACCUACCUAUAAGACUGGGAUAACUUCGGGAAACCGGAGCUAAUACCGGAUAAUAUAUUGAACCGCAUGGUUCAAUAGUGAAAGACGGUUUUGCUGUCACUUAUAGAUGGAUCCGCGCCGCAUUAGCUAGUUGGUAAGGUAACGGCUUACCAAGGCAACGAUGCGUAGCCGACCUGAGAGGGUGAUCGGCCACACUGGAACUGAGACACGGUCCAGACUCCUACGGUAGGCAGCAGUAGGGAAUCUUCCGCAAUGGGCGAAAGCCUGACGGAGCAACGCCGCGUGAAUGAUGAAGGUCUUCGGAUCGUAAAGCUCUGUUAUUAGGGAAGAACAAAUGUGUAAGUAACUAUGCACGUCUUGACGGUACCUAAUCAGAAAGCCACGGCUAACUACGUG